Molecule: ribosomal RNA, 777 nt
Filed under: uncultured bacterium
Lineage: Bacteria
Description: bacterial SSU rRNA
Rfam family: Bacterial small subunit ribosomal RNA
Source: RNAcentral
AGAGUUUGAUCCUGGCUCAGGAUGAACGCUAGCGGCAGGCCUAAUACAUGCAAGUCGAACGGAUGUAGCAAUACAUUAGUGGCGCACGGGUGCGUAACGCGUAUGCACCUCCUUUCAGUGGGGGAUAGCCCGGGGAACCCGGAUUAAUACCGCAUAAGAUAGUUGACUGGCAUCAGUUAACUAUGAAACAUUUAUGGCUGAAAGAUGGGCAUGCGUUAGAUUAGCUAGUUGGUGAGGUAGCAGCUCACCAAGGCGAUGAUCUAUAGGGGUUCUGAGAGGAAGAUCCCCCACACUGGUACUGAGACAGGGACCAGACUCCUACGGGAGGCAGCAGUAGGGAAUAUUGGGCAAUGGAGGCAACUCUGACCCAGCCAUGCCGCGUGCAGGAAGAAGGCCUUCUGGGUUGUAAACUGCUUUUGGAAGUGAACAAAAAGACACUGCGGUGUAAAUUGAGUGUAGCUUCAGAAUAAGCACCGGCUAACUCCGUGCCAGCAGCCGCGGUAAUACGGAGGGUGCAAGCGUUGUCCGGAUUUAUUGGGUUUAAAGGGUGCGUAGGCGGCUACUUAAGUCAGGGGUGAAAGACGAUUGCUUAACAAUCGCAGUGCCUUUGAUACUGAGUAGCUUGAGUACAGAUGAGGCAGGCGGAAUGGGUGGUGUAGCGGUGAAAUGCAUAGAUACCAUCCAGAACACCGAUUGCGAAGGCAGCCUGCUAAACUGUAACUGACGCUGAGGCACGAAAGCGUGGGGAUCGAACAGGAUUAGAUACCCUCGUAGUCC